This 499-nucleotide ribosomal RNA is filed under the name uncultured bacterium. RNAcentral describes it as "partial 16S ribosomal RNA". It matches the Rfam family "Bacterial small subunit ribosomal RNA", at positions 28 to 507 of the family's 1533-position model. The record is from RNAcentral.
GACGAACGCUGGCGGCGUGCUUAACACAUGCAAGUCGAACGGGCCCGCUCUCUUUUUUGGGGGUGGAUUGAGUGGCGAACGGGUGAGUAUCACGUGAGUAACCUGCCCCCUGCUCCUGGAUAACUGCUUGAAAGGGCGGCUAAUACGGGGUGUGCCGGCUGGUCCGCAUGGGCCUGGUCGGGAUAGUUUCAUCUUCGGGUGUUUCGGUGGGGGAUGGGCUCGCGGCCUAUCAGCUUGUUGGUGGGGUGAUGGCCCACCAAGGCGGUGACGGGUAGCCGGCCUGAGAGGGUGGGCGGCCACACUGGGACUGAGACACGGCCCAGACUCCGGCGGGAGGCAGCAGUGGGGGGUAUUGCACAAUGGGCGGAAGCCUGAUGCAGCGACGUCGCGUGAGGGAUGGAGGCCGUCGGGUUGUGAACCUCUUUCUCCGGUGGUCAAGGCCCUGUCCGUUGCGGCGGGGUUGACGGUAGCCGGGUAUGAAGCGCCGGCUAACUACGUG